Molecule: long non-coding RNA, 231 nt
Organism: Magallana angulata
Lineage: Eukaryota; Metazoa; Mollusca; Bivalvia; Ostreida; Ostreidae
Exons: 3
Source: RefSeq, a predicted model, not a curated record
ACGGAGAGGACUGUUUUAUGAAGUGUAGAUGUUCUGUUGAUAUCUGCGACUUUAUAUCUGGAUGUAGUUUCAUCAGUACUGCAGUCAUUUCUUCGGAGCGUCAGACAACCAGCAUCAAGGACAAUGUAUUUCCAUGUGAUAUUUGCAGAAACCAAUGUGGUAAGAUAAGUUACCAAAACAUUUUUUAAUAAUACAUGUCAACACAUCUUCUUUACGAUACUAUUAAGGAUU